GCUUUUGAAGAAGAGACUGAGCAUCUGAGAACAAAAUGUCUCCUGCAUCCAGUCAUAAUCAUUCACUGCCAGACCUAUAUGUUCCUGUGAGGUCUCCCCAGCUAACUCACCAAUAAUUCCAUGUAUGGAAGGAAGACAGAUAAGGGUAACUGGAUUUGGUUCACUGUUUCUUUUGCCGCUUCUGUUAAUUUGGAGAGACAUAUGCGACUUUGUGCUUCACUAGAGGAGUACAGACUUCAUGAGGGUCUGACCCGGCUCCACCCAGUUGAUCCAGGUGAACAAGGUGUCUGUUCAGCGGAGCCCAGAGACCUCGUAAGGUUUGUGGAUUCAUGUUGUACAUUAAGUUAUAGGUUUAAAACUCACUGUUCAUUAGCCACCUUCUAGACCCGAAAGAACGCUGCCACAGGAUGCUGAGUUGGAAAAGUGGUAGUAAAAUGUCAUAGUACAUGCCCCACACUUUAAUGGAAAAAAGAAAGGUUUUAAUGCUUGCUGCCUAUUUUUUGUUGUUGUUCAUUGGACAAAAAAAGGUGAACGCUCCUAGGCCAGCACAUGAUAAAAUCAGGUUUCCUCAUUUCCUUCAAUAUUAGAUCAUGAUGAGAAAAUAUUCUGUUACCUGUUCUCUUUAUAAAUAGUGGAGUUCUAACAGUCAUGUACUUUAAUCUCUUUUAAAGUCCCCAGCAACAUAUAUAAGUGGUGCCCUUUGACCCAGAUCCCAGUAUGCGUACCUCAUAAAUCAUUUUUUUCAGACGUAUGUGUUUUUACUUUUAUUUUAUUUUUAAAUUAAAUUUUUAAUUCCAGUGCAGUUAACAUACUAUGUUAUAUUACUUUCAGGUGUACAAUACAGUGAUUCAACAAUUCUAUACAUCACCUUGUGCUCACCAUGACGAGUGCACUCCUUAAUCCCCAUCACCUAUUUCCCCCAUCCCCCACCUACCUUUCCCCUGGUAGCCAUGUUUGUUCUCUCUAGUUAAGAGUCUGUUUCUUGGUUUGUGUCUCUUUUUUUUUUUCUUUGCUCAUUUAUUUUGUUUCUUCAAAUUCCACAAAUGAGUGAAAUCAUAUGGUAUUUGCCUUUGUCUCAUUUGUUUCUCUUAGCAUUAUACUCUCUAGCUCCAUCCAUGUUGUUGUAAAUGUCAAGAUUUCAUUCUUUUUAAUGACUGAAUAGUAUUCAAUAGUGUGUGUAUAUAUAUGUAUAUAUACAUAUAUAUACAUACACCACAUCUUCUUUAUCUAUUCAUCUUUUGGUGGACACUUGGGCUGCUUUCACAAUUUGGCUAUUAUAAAUAAUGCUGCAAUAAACAGAGGGGUGCAUGUAUCCCUUUGAAUUAG
RNAcentral lists this long non-coding RNA (1326 nucleotides) under Felis catus (domestic cat). Its description in RNAcentral is "lncRNA (ENSFCAG00000046667.2)". Lineage: Eukaryota; Metazoa; Chordata; Mammalia; Carnivora; Felidae. The record is from RNAcentral.